AUUCAGCUGAUGAGUCCUAAAUAGGACGAAACGCACGUCCUAGAU
This 45-nucleotide non-coding RNA is filed under the name Schistosoma margrebowiei. The record is from RNAcentral. Lineage: Eukaryota; Metazoa; Platyhelminthes; Trematoda; Strigeidida; Schistosomatidae.